This 422-nucleotide ribosomal RNA is filed under the name uncultured bacterium. RNAcentral's name for it is "bacterial SSU rRNA". It matches the Rfam family "Bacterial small subunit ribosomal RNA", at positions 359 to 773 of the family's 1533-position model. The record is from RNAcentral.
GAAUUUUGGACAAUGGGGGCAACCCUGAUCCAGCCAUCCCGCGUGUGCGAUGAAGGCCUUCGGGUUGUAAAGCACUUUUGGCAGGGAAGAAAAGGCUCUGGCUAAUACCUGGAGCUGCUGACGGUACCUGCAGAAGAAGCACCGGCUAACUACGUGCCAGCAGCCGCGGUAAUACGUAGGGUGCAAGCGUUAAUCGGAAUUACUGCGCGUAAAGCGUGCGCAGGCGGUUCGGCGAGAAGGAUGUGCAAUCCCAGGGCUUAACCUUGGAACGGCAUUCUUAGCUGCCGGGCUGGAGUAUGUCAGAGGGGGGUAGAAUUCCGCGUGUAGCAGUGAAAUGCGUAGAGAUGCGGAGGAAUACCGAUGGCGAAGGCAGCCCCCUGGGAUAAUACUGACGCUCAUGCACGAAAGCGUGGGGAGCAAAC